GGAUUUUGAAACUCUGCAGGCCCAUAAUUUUCCUGCAAUGCUUUAACAAGUUCUUCCCAAUAGAGCAAAGUUCGUUCACGAUUGAUCCAAGAGAAGAGAUCAAGCGCAUCACCUUCCAGAUACAUAGCAGCAAUGUCAACUUUGUGUUCAUCUGGAGUUUGAUAGUAGCAGAAAUAUUUUUCUGCCUUCAAAAUCCAACCCCUAG
Molecule: long non-coding RNA, 205 nt
Filed under: Solanum tuberosum (potato)
Lineage: Eukaryota; Viridiplantae; Streptophyta; Magnoliopsida; Solanales; Solanaceae
Description: long non-coding RNA (STUB_LNC010000)
Source: RNAcentral